CCUUCCAACUGCAUCUCUCCCCAUAAUUUGGCACCAUGAAAAAUUGAAAUUCCCGCCCUGUAAUCCCAACAAAUCCCAUGGUCAGUGUGAAUGAAAGUUUUCUAUCAUGCAGGUAGAAUCCACACAUCUCCAUGGAUGGAUAAAGGUUUGACUUCUUUGAAUCUUUGGUUCGAAUCUCUAAAAUGCAUGUGCUUUGAAGCAUUUGAUUAGAAAAGAUGGCAAUGAAGGUUCUUGAAAUGAUGAAGAUCAAGAGAAAGUCGUGCUAUUUAUAAACAUUAUAUUCUAUGUUGCAUUCAUAAGAAGUUGUGUUCUUGAUGGGAUGAAGUAGUGUUGUUUUCUUCAUUUGGAUAUAGAAGUUUUAUGCGAAUAAUUGUAGAAUUUUAUGAUA
Long non-coding RNA from Helianthus annuus (common sunflower), 388 nucleotides. RefSeq lists it as uncharacterized. The record is from RefSeq and is a predicted model, not a curated record. Lineage: Eukaryota; Viridiplantae; Streptophyta; Magnoliopsida; Asterales; Asteraceae. The transcript has 2 exons.